AGUGAGUGUGAGUGAGUCAGCGAGAGUAUGAAAGUAUGCAUAGCCUGUAUGAUGUUGAUGCAUGUGGAUGGGUGUUAGGUUCGUGGAAAUAUGUCUACAGGGGAUAAACUGCUGUGUUCAGGUAAUCCAUUGGCAGAUAAAACUCAUAAUUCCAAGGAUGGGUAUUAUUCUGUCCUGUAAUGAACAGCUCAGUCCUGCACAGUCAGUCAAGAAGAGGAUGUACAGAAUGUAUGCCCUCAGCCUCAUGGGUAGGACUUGUAUUGUGUGCUAGUCAUACGUCUGUAUGCCUGUAUGCCUGAAUGCCCCCAAAGCAUAUCAGUUUCUUGUGUGUAUUCAGUGAAGUGAUCAAUUCAUGCAUGUUGGUUUAUUUGUGACAGGUCUAUACAAACUUUCUGUGGAUAGAAGAUACUCAGUUGUUGUUGACAUAGAGGUAUGUUUGUUAAUGCGAUCAGGCCGGUUAUCAUGAUGUUGAUGUACUGUACUCUAGUGUGUCGGCCAUAUAUGGUCUCCGAUGGGUGUGGGAACUGCAGUUUAUAUUCCAUUUGAGUGACUGUACAUGUAUCUUCACUCAUCUUAUUAAGUGCAAACCCCAUUCUUGUUUCAGAAAACUGCAUUUUAUCACAAUAAGGUUAGCCCAGUUUUAUACUUAGUAAGUUAUAAUUACUUAUUUUCAAAAAUAUUGUCCAGAAUUCUUGUUUUAGUAAAGAUCAAGGUAGCCUAAGGGUUUAAAGCACCAAAACAUCAGAGUUUCUUCCCUUACUUCUGUCAGAUUCUUCUGCUUAUUUGUCCAAAUGCAACAAUCACAAAUAUAAUGAUCUUUGAUUGUAAAUUCCCUAUAUGGUAUGUGCCAGUACCAAGUACGGUAUCUGACUUUUUUAUGUCAAUGAGCAGAGAUGUCAGUCAAAUACUAGUUAGUAAUGUUCAAAAUAACGCACAAUUCCUUCACAAACGUCUCACUGCUCACAUCUUUUUACCUCAUGCAAAAUAUUUCCUGGAACAAAUAUAGAAAACGUGUCAAACAAUCAAUGAAAUUGGUUUUGCCUUUUUAAGUCAAAUGACACGAGAUUGACUGAGACGAUAUUUUGUUUUACUUCACAGUCGGAAUCAUCUGUAGGAGUGGGGAUAACAUUUUCAGUGAAUAAAAACCCAGAAUGGUAGUGAAAGAGGAACAGAUUUUAGUAGUUUUUUCAUUAAUAUAAAAGAUUCAAAUCAAAUUCAAAUCACACCCUCUUCAUAUCAAUGCAAGGAAUUAUCAUUUUCUAUGAUAGUGACAGAGUUGAAAGAGUAAUAUUUAUUUACAAUAAUAUCUGUUUUGUAAUUUUUGCUCGACGUUGAACCAUGUAAACUUAUUUAUUCUUAUUUUUCAUAAUACAUUUUUCAUUUUGUCCAGACAAUGACCUAAGACAUAUUUUUAUUUUAUUUUCAUAUUUUUUCAGUUAACUUAUCAUACUUAAGCAGCCAAGUGUUUCACAUAAGACAAACUUGAACACUUGAUAAAAUCAACAAAAAUGUUCUUUAUAAGAAUUUUAUUACCUAUGUUCCACGUGAGUGCUCAUAAAGCCCUUUAAUGGUGGAGGCUGAUGUGAUGAUAUCACUUUAUACCCCAGUAAAGACUAUUAUAGCAUCCUUGGCCUACAUUUCAUGAAGUGAAUUUCUGUUAUAAGAUUCUUCUUAUCCUUUGGCAUUUAUUCACCUCAAAUGUAAAAAGUAAAAGUAGUUCUGUCAACUUUUAUGGAAUUUUGUAUGUGAAGACAGACAUGACAUUAAUGUGUAUACAUGUAAAGAGAAAAUAUUUGGAAUAAUUCCACGAUGUAUAGACUAAAGAAAACCAAGUUCUAUGGAGAGUCAACUUCUUUAUUGCAAAGAGUGCAAUGUUUUGGUGUAGGUACUAACACCGUUAU
Molecule: long non-coding RNA, 1901 nt
Organism: Haliotis rubra (blacklip abalone)
Lineage: Eukaryota; Metazoa; Mollusca; Gastropoda; Lepetellida; Haliotidae
Exons: 3
Source: RefSeq, a predicted model, not a curated record